This 689-nucleotide long non-coding RNA is filed under the name Hordeum vulgare. RNAcentral describes it as "long non-coding RNA (HVUL_LNC017776)". The record is from RNAcentral. Lineage: Eukaryota; Viridiplantae; Streptophyta; Magnoliopsida; Poales; Poaceae.
UACAUACAUGUCAAAUGAAACGGAAAGUUAGACUUCCUCAACACAAUUAUAUAUGGAGUUGUGAUGGAUUAUGUUGGAUAUAAUACUCAUGCUUCAUCCAAAAACUCAUUUGUUCCUUGCUCCGACUAUGAGGAGGGCACCUGAAGGUAAAUUUUCUGACUAUUCUUCAGUUUCCUUGCAAAAUUGAGACCGUAACCUGGUCACUCAUGAAACAAAACUGUUUGGGUAUAAUAUAGUUCAUCCAAGUGCUACAGUUGAUAAUAUGCUAUCUAUUUCUGUCUUAUAAGAGAAUAAAUUGAUAUAACAGGUGGCCCUCAAAACUCAAAAAUGGAUUAUUCAGGGAUUUUUCUUCUUCCUGCACGGCGCAACAGGAUAAGAAAUACACUAUGCAUUCUUCACAUAAAGAUAAUGUAGAAAUUAUCUAGUUAAGCCAGUGGACAAUUGAAGAAUAUCCUCAUAAGAAUUUUUUCAUGAAAAACGAUUCUGGAUAAAUUGCAACAGACGCCACAAAUUAGCAUAAUUUUUAGCCAGGGCUCAGUAACACUCUUAUCCUCGAUGUAGAUAUGUUUAUUAUGAUCCUUGAAUCAAACUAAUAAAUUCAAAUGAGAAACAAAGUGAUCAAAACGAAUAGAAAAAUUCAGAUAGUACCUUUAAAAGUGUGUUAUAAGCCUCUAACAAGCGGUUAGCAG